UAAGGGAGGGAGGGGGCGGCGGCGUCGGCGAGACGAGGUCCAAGGGGCGGCGGCGGCGGCGGCGAGAUGAGGUCCAAGCGGCUGCGGCGGCGACUAGACGAGUUCCAAGCGGCGGCGGCGGCGGCGGCGACGAGACGAGGUCCAAGCGGCUGCGGCGGCGACUAGGCGAGUUCCUCUAGCAACCUCUCAGCUAGCCCCUACUCGCCUCCGUACGCCGUCUAGGACUUGAACCCCGACAUACUGCCCGAGUUUGCGCGCAUAAGCGACGCCGCGGACUUGGAGAGGUUCUACUUUAAAAAAGUGGGCUGCCGUCUUCUCCGCCGGCGCGUACCGUUCCACGACGGGCGUGACCGGGAGCUGUUCCGGGCACGGUGGUUGUCCUUUUCCUAGACGUUGUGAUUUGACCGCUGCCGCCUCCGCCGCCGCGGGUUCUACCUAUAGGGUUUUAGGCUGGACCAGUACCCCGGUGGCGUUUAGAGGGGGACGGACCGGAGGGCAGCGAAGCAGGUAAAGAAGGGGUGGCGGAGCCUCUCGUUCUAGUAGAACCCGCUGGCGCCCUUGGCGUACAAUGCGAAGUUGUAGCAGCUACCGAGGGCGAUGUACCUAUGGGACGGUACGGAGGUGCCUGAGUUCGUCUACGGCUACCAGUAGAGGCAGGGAGGUUGCCUGCACGUGGAAGGACUACCGCUUCUGUGACCGCUGGAGAUGUAGUAGCUACCGGAGGAGGUAGGCCUGUUCCGCCUCCACGCGGGCGUCAAGCUCCGGGACCACACCUCCCCCAAGGGGUUCAGGCGGCAUAGAUCGUCCAAGACCGUGACGCUGUAGGAGGGAGACGGCGGCACCUAGUCGUUUGGUGUUCGUGCCGUACCAGAAGCCAGUGCGGGAGCAGCUGCUGUCGUAGACGAAGAGGUAGACACCUCGGCUCCCACGGCCGUGGAUGACGAAGGUGUAGGGUUGAGCACUCACCUCGUUUCGACCGCUGACCGAGUACGGGAAGUUACCGUUCCGCCUAAUACAGGGGCUCGAACCUGAGACCAAACCGUAGUGUGUUCUGUUGGUGGGAACGCGACGGCUGGAGAGUCCGGAGCAGUCUCCCCUCCUCGACAGCGGUCUGUUCUACGCCUAGACCCUCGCACUACUGGACGGUCUCCUCACCGUCGGUUUCUCGAACGUGUUAAGGACACGGCAGUCGGAACCAAGACCGUCUAAGUAGUAGCACCUGAAGAACUUACAGUACUUUAAGUUGUUCCUUACCUUGCUCUACCUACGGCAGUUCCUUAAACGGGAGAAGUGGCCAUACCUCGAUCGGAAGUCGUUGCCGUUUCCGUUCUUACCGUCUUUACCACGGUCGUUUCUGUUACCGGUGGUGUCAUCACCGUGGGUAACGAGGCCGUUACUCUCAACGUUGACGUCACAGAGACCGUUGUUCUUACCGCCGUUUCCGUUUCCCCACUACGCGCCGGAGGCACACUAGUUCGUGUUUAGGGUAGCGAUGUACAAAUUCUUCGUUGACUCCUAGCUCCGUCACGAGACUUACUAAGUCGUUCAGUAAAACUUGACGUCGAUCACAUACGUACGAACGUAAGACCGUGAAUUAAACGAUAGUCACACCACAACGACGAGGGACAAAUGUCGUUCAUCAUAACUGGAUCACAAUACAGUCGAAUUUAUUAGCUAGAACAAUAUACUACUUUGUACGAUAUUUAACAUGGAGGGACCACAAUAAGACCUAGUAAGGUAGAUCAUAAGUCUAAACGACGACUGGUUUAUUAACAAACUACAAAUAAAACUUGACAACACGAUCAACUUCUU
This 1812-nucleotide ribosomal RNA is filed under the name Triticum aestivum (bread wheat). RNAcentral's name for it is "partial small subunit ribosomal RNA". Lineage: Eukaryota; Viridiplantae; Streptophyta; Magnoliopsida; Poales; Poaceae. The record is from RNAcentral.